AAAUAAUUUCCUUGUUUCGAUUGAAAACAAAUGAAUAAAACAAGGAAAAGAAGAAUCUUCAACUUGGGUUUUACCGAACGAGAGCCGAAAGCAAGUAAUAGCGUACCAUUUGGAUUGCUUUCAAGUAUCCUGGGCCUCGUGGAUGAUGCUUUCUUCUACUUCUCUCUCUCUCACUCUC
Long non-coding RNA from Hibiscus syriacus, 178 nucleotides. RefSeq lists it as uncharacterized. NCBI's taxonomy places the organism in Eukaryota, Viridiplantae, Streptophyta, Magnoliopsida, Malvales, Malvaceae. The record is from RefSeq and is a predicted model, not a curated record. The transcript is spliced from 3 exons.